RNAcentral lists this long non-coding RNA (422 nucleotides) under Moschus moschiferus (Siberian musk deer). RNAcentral's name for it is "lncRNA (ENSMMSG00000005017.1)". The record is from RNAcentral. Lineage: Eukaryota; Metazoa; Chordata; Mammalia; Artiodactyla; Moschidae.
CUUGGAUCCUAGCUGAGGGGGUAAAAAUAAAGUGUUUCCACUUCCAGCCAAUCCCAGGGAAGACAGGAGGGCACUCCUCCAAUGGGAUCCUGGAGCCGUCGGUAGCAGUGGCGGCCUGCAACCACCCGUAGCGCUCUGGCAGGCGGGAGGGACGCAUCUGGUGCAUUCGCGAGAUCCAGUUGCCGGUACCGGGAAUCUGCUUGCGCGAAGCAGUGGCGGCACCGACGGCCCGAGGUUCCCGGUCAGCAGGUUGCGGAGGAUCGUGCGGGUAGCAAAAGGAGGGCGAGUGCUCCUGCGGCCCCAGACAGCAACCAGGACACUCCAGUUCCCCAAAACUGCCUUCACCCACCAUCAACAACUAAUAACUUAGACUGUCCCUUCCCAGGCCCAGCAUCUGUAAAGAAAUUAGACUGUUCUGUUAG